UCUCAUCAUCAGACAUCUGAAAAAAGAUAAGAGUUGAAAUUAGAUUCCAUCAUUAACAUAUAACACUAAUAUGUAGUUUUCUUGAUUAGGUUUCAUUUUAAUCGCUAUACCUUAUUUAAAAAACUAAGUUCACAAUCAUCGACCCGAUGUCCCUCGGUGUGUCGAUGAAAGUAUUGAGGUGAACCUCUCUCUGCAUAUAAACGCCAAUCAAAUAAAAUACCAGGACAAAGUCUGGUUAAAGUAUCAAUUGCCAUAACCAUGAUUAUUUUUUUACAAAAUCACAAAAGUUUUAACCAAAUAAUCUCAAGAUAACUAGUUUGUUGUUAUCAUAAUAUCAUUUUAAUUAAAUACGUAUUAUAAAAUAAUACGGUUCUCUUCAAUACCAAGUAAUAUGUAUCAAUCAGAAUAGCAUUUGAAAUUAUUUCUCGUCUCAACAAGAACUGGAUUUACUUUUAAGAUUACGGAUGGAUAUGAAUUGCAGAUGUAACAGUUGAAUUGGAGAGUAAAUUAAAAUUAAUUUGUUCACAGGGACUGGCAGGGAUUUAAUCAACUGUUUUAAAUUGGUCACUGGUUAAUUGUAUUGGUAAAAAAUUGAACGGAAAUAAAUAGUUUGCUGGUAAAGGCGUCUGUUGCUGUGUUUGAUUAGUUAUGGAAGUAAUUUAUCACAAUUCAAAUUAAACUUGAGUUAAACUUGCAAGUAAAUGAUUUUUCCUUUUCUUAUUUCUUUCAGCUGGCAGUAAAAUAUCAUCACACACAGUAUCAUUUGGAAUCGUUUGAAUGAAAUAUCAAAAGUUAAGCUGCUAUCAACAAAUAUGGAGACCGAAUGUGUAUAUCAAUAGAUGAUUACGGAUCAUGGCGAUGAUGAUAAUGAUGGAUACAGAGUUGACCUAGUCUAUCAUGAAUUGGUUAACCUGCUGAUUAACUUGUUAAAAGGAAUGCAUUGGAUUCUGUGAGACACAUUUCUUGAAUAAUAAUAAUUGUAUUUGAUUCGAUGAACAUGAUUAACACGAAUAACACAAAGUUAAAUGAUCAACAAAGAAGAGGGCCAAACAUAAUGAUAAUAUUAUCACAGUAAAUACUUCUUGUUUAGGUUAAAUCAUCACUACACCUAUUCUCUGGUCCUUUCAUGUUACCAGAAAGAUGAAGAAGGAAAGGCUGAUAUUGGCUGAGGAAGAAAAGAAAGGCAAAAUGAUGGCUCAAAAUAUGGCGAGAUCAACUCUUUCUUCUCUGUCUAUGUUUCUCUCCAUGGAAGGAAAGUGAAAAAAGUAGACAUGAAAUGGAAACUGAGAAUGAGCAGGAAUCUCCAGGCUUUUGUCACAGCGCAAGGAAUCAACGAACAAAAUAAUGUAAAUCGAUAAAAAGGCGAAAGGCAUCAGAGUCAGGUUAUCAUUACUGGUAGCUCUGGUUGAAAAACAAAGAUGAGCAAAAAGAGAUGAAGAUAAACAAAGGUCUGGCGAUGAAGUUGAAAAAAUUACAUGAUUGAAAGUAAAUGUAUGAUUCUGAAUCAAGAAAUGAUCUCAGAACAAUUACUUGAAUUGAAAUUUUUGUACUUUUCCAUUUGAUACCUUUACGGCCAACUUUUGCUUCUUCUCAAAUAUUCAUUCCAUUGAAAUUGGUUAAAUCUGAGAUUUUCAUUUUUGCUACCAAUGAAUGUUUCAUUUGAUGGAGAUUCAAUAUUUAUAUCAACAAUUCUUAAACUUGUCAGACUUUUUGUCUAUUUAUUUAUCCUAUUUAGGUCAAAUUGGACUCAUGCUGUUUCGUCUGAACUGAUAUCUAACGUAUCUUGGUUCACAUCACCAUUGAACUUUUAUCGGAUUAAUUCUACAUGGAAUUAAACUUUGAAGAUAAGUCUAAAGAUGAUUGAAAAGGCAGGAGAAGAAAGCAAUGGAAAGGUUAAUCAGAAUAAAGGUAAAGUGAAAAUGAAUAAAAGAUUUGUUUGAAUGCUCAUGAUUCAGAGUAAACAUUUGUCUAUUGCAACGUAAACAUCUAGAAACGUUGGGAUGAUAAUGAUGAUGAAGAUAAUUAAGUUUGAUUUUGCGUACUUUUCAACUGGUUUCAAUGUUAUUAUUUCAUAUUAUCAGAUGUUCAUCAUUGCUAUUAGUAGUAUUAUUAUUAACCGGUAAAAAAUUAUUAUUUAACUAGUCCGUCUUGUAUUUGGUGGUUAAGAUUGAUACUCAACUAGAUUGUGUGUUCAUUAAAAUGAUAUUUUAUUGAGUUGCUA
Molecule: non-coding RNA, 2221 nt
Organism: Tetranychus urticae (two-spotted spider mite)
Lineage: Eukaryota; Metazoa; Arthropoda; Arachnida; Trombidiformes; Tetranychidae
Source: RefSeq, a predicted model, not a curated record